GGGCCGCUAACUCAAUUGGCAGAGUACGCGCCUUUUAAGCGCUUAGUUGCGGGUUCGAGUCCCGCGCGGCCCA
This 73-nucleotide transfer RNA is filed under the name Acidimicrobiaceae bacterium. RNAcentral describes it as "tRNA-Lys". It matches the Rfam family "tRNA". Rfam says of the family: Transfer RNA (tRNA) molecules are approximately 80 nucleotides in length. Their secondary structure includes four short double-helical elements and three loops (D, anti-codon, and T loops). Further hydrogen bonds mediate the characteristic L-shaped molecular structure. tRNAs have two regions of fundamental functional importance: the anti-codon, which is responsible for specific mRNA codon recognition, and the 3' end, to which the tRNAs corresponding amino acid is attached (by aminoacyl-tRNA synthetases). tRNAs cope with the degeneracy of the genetic code in two manners: having more than one tRNA (with a specific anti-codon) for a particular amino acid; and 'wobble' base-pairing, i.e. permitting non-standard base-pairing at the 3rd anti-codon position. Lineage: Bacteria; Bacillati; Actinomycetota; Acidimicrobiia; Acidimicrobiales; Acidimicrobiaceae. The record is from RNAcentral.